GCACCAUUUAGCCGGGCUGCUCUCCGGAGGCAGAGGUCAGAGGUUCGAAUCCUCUCGGGUGCGCCA
This 66-nucleotide transfer RNA is filed under the name Glaciecola sp. 4H-3-7+YE-5. Its description in RNAcentral is "tRNA-Ser". Lineage: Bacteria; Pseudomonadati; Pseudomonadota; Gammaproteobacteria; Alteromonadales; Alteromonadaceae. The record is from RNAcentral.